ACCUGAAGUAAGCAGGAUAACCCGCUGAACUUAAGCAUAUCAUUAAGCGGAGGAAAAGAAAUUAACAAAGAUUACCUUAGUAAUGGCGAAUGAACCGGUAACAGCUCGAAAUUAAAAUCUACUGUUCAAAGAACAGNCGAAUUGUAAUCUGGAUUGCUUAAAUACAUCUGUUUUCUUAAGUCAAUAGAAAGUGACCUCAUAGAGGGUGAUAAGCCCGUAAGGAGAGCAGAUGCUUAAAGUAAUUCUAAAAAGAGUCGGGUAGUUUGGAACUGCUGCCCUAAAGGGAGAUAUGAAUCUUCCAAAGCUAAAUAUGGAUGGGAGACCGAUAGCGCACAAGUACUGUGAAGGAAAG
This 352-nucleotide ribosomal RNA is filed under the name Chaenea vorax. RNAcentral describes it as "LSU rRNA". It matches the Rfam family "Eukaryotic large subunit ribosomal RNA", at positions 1 to 363 of the family's 3401-position model. The record is from RNAcentral. Lineage: Eukaryota; Ciliophora; Litostomatea; Haptorida; Trachelophyllidae.